Molecule: ribosomal RNA, 441 nt
Filed under: uncultured bacterium
Lineage: Bacteria
Description: partial 16S ribosomal RNA
Rfam family: Bacterial small subunit ribosomal RNA
Source: RNAcentral
CCUACGGGAGGCAGCAGUGGGGAAUAUUGCACAAUGGGGGAAACCCUGAUGCAGCAACGCCGCGUGAGUGAAGAAGGUUUUCGGAUUGUAAAGCUCUGUUAGCAGGGAAGAGGAAGGACGGUACCUGCAGAGGAAGCCACGGCUAACUACGUUCCAGCAGCCGCGGUAAUACGUAGGUGGCAAGCGUUGUUCGGAAUAACUGGGCGGAAAGGAUGCGGAGGCGGUUAAACAAGUUAUAUGUUAAAUAUAUAGGCUUAACCUGUAGAAAGCAUAUAAAACUGUUUAACUAGAGGGCAGGAGAGGUGAGUGGAAUUCCUAGUGGAGCGGGGAAAAGCGUAGAGAAUAGGAAGAACACCAGUGGCGGAAGCGACUUACUGGACUGUAACUGACGCUGGGGCAUGAGGGCAAGGGGAGGAAACAGGAUUAGAUACCCCAGUAGUC